Molecule: microRNA precursor, 110 nt
Filed under: Podarcis lilfordi (Lilford's wall lizard)
Lineage: Eukaryota; Metazoa; Chordata; Lepidosauria; Squamata; Lacertidae
Source: RNAcentral
AUCUCCCCCUCUCUGCUCAGCGCCCCUUCAGCGAAGCAGCAGGAGAAACGGAGCCCCUUCCAUUUCUCCUGCCGCUUCGCUGAAGGGGCGCUGAGCAGAGAGGGGGAGAA